ACCCGCUGAACUUAAGCAUAUCAAUAAGCGGAGGAAAAGAAACUAACAAGGAUUCCCCUAGUAACUGCGAGUGAAGCGGGAAAAGCUCAAAUUUAAAAUCUGGCUGUCUUCGGCAGUCCGAGUUGUAAUCUAGAGAAGUGUUAUCCGCGUUGGACCGUGUACAAGUCUCCUGGAAUGGAGCAUCAUAGAGGGUGAGAAUCCCGUCUUUGACACGGACUACCAGUGCUUUGUGAUGCGCUCUCAAAGAGUCGAGUUGUUUGGGAAUGCAGCUCAAAAUGGGUGGUAAAUUCCAUCUAAAGCUAAAUAUUGGCGAGAGACCGAUAGCGAACAAGUACCGUGAGGGAAAGAUGAAAAGAACUUUGGAAAGAGAGUUAAACAGUACGUGAAAUUGCUGAAAGGGAAACGCUUGAAGUCAGUCACGUUGGCUAGAAAUCAACCUUGCUUUUGCUGGGCGUACUUUCUGGUUAACGGGUCAGCAUCAAUUUUGACCGUUGGAAAAAGUUCAGAGGAAUGUGGCAUCUUCGGAUGUGUUAUAGCCUCUGUUCGCAUACAAUGGUUGGGAUUGAGGAUCUCAGCACGCCGCAAGGCCGGGUUUCGACCACGUUCGUGCUUAGGAUGCUGGCAUAAUGGCUUUAAUCGACCCGUCUUGAAACACGG
RNAcentral lists this ribosomal RNA (657 nucleotides) under uncultured fungus. Its description in RNAcentral is "eukaryotic LSU rRNA". It matches the Rfam family "Eukaryotic large subunit ribosomal RNA", at positions 23 to 664 of the family's 3401-position model. The record is from RNAcentral. Lineage: Eukaryota; Fungi.